RNAcentral lists this ribosomal RNA (468 nucleotides) under uncultured bacterium. Its description in RNAcentral is "partial 16S ribosomal RNA". It matches the Rfam family "Bacterial small subunit ribosomal RNA", at positions 28 to 507 of the family's 1533-position model. The record is from RNAcentral.
GACGAACGCUGGCGGCGUGCUUAACACAUGCAAGUCGAACGGAAAGGCCCUGCUUUUGUGGGGUGCUCGAGUGGCGAACGGGUGAGUAACACGUGAGUAACCUGCCCUUGACUGUGGGAUAACUUCAGGAAACUGGGGCUAAUACCGGAUAGGAGCUCCUGCUGCAUGGUGGGGGUUGGAAAGUUUCGGCGGUUGGGGGUGGACUCGCGGCUUAUCAGCUUGUUGGUGGGGUAGUGGCUUACCAAGGCUUUGACGGGUAGCAGGCCUGAGAGGGUGACCGGCCACAUUAGGACUGAGAUACGGCCCAGCCUACUACGGGAGGCAGCAGUGGGGAAUAUUGCACAAUGGGCGGAAGCCUGAUGCAACAACGCCGCGUGCGGGAUGACGGCCUUCGGGUUGUAAACCGCUUUCGCCUGUGACGAAGCGUGAGUGACGGUAAUGGGUAAAGAAGCACCGGCUAACUACGUG